GUGGGGAAUUUUGGACAAUGGGGGCAACCCUGAUCCAGCCAUUCCGCGUGAGUGAAGAAGGCCUUCGGGUUGUAAAGCUCUUUCGGCAGGAACGAAACGGUGAGCUCUAACAUAGCUCGCUAAUGACGGUACCUGAAGAAGAAGCACCGGCUAACUACGUGCCAGCAGCCGCGGUAAUACGUAGGGUGCGAGCGUUAAUCGGAAUUACUGGGCGUAAAGCGUGCGCAGGCGGUUGUGUAAGACAGGUGUGAAAUCCCCGGGCUUAACCUGGGAACUGCGCUUGUGAGUGCACGGCUAGAGUAUGGCAGAGGGGGGUGGAAUUCCACGUGUAGCAGUGAAAUGCGUAGAGAUGUGGAGGAACACCGAUGGCGAAGGCAGCCCCCUGGGCCAAUACUGACGCUCAUGCACGAAAGCGUGGGGAGCAAACAGGAUUAGAUACCCCGGUAGUCC
This 450-nucleotide ribosomal RNA is filed under the name uncultured bacterium. Its description in RNAcentral is "bacterial SSU rRNA". It matches the Rfam family "Bacterial small subunit ribosomal RNA", at positions 354 to 796 of the family's 1533-position model. The record is from RNAcentral.